This 449-nucleotide ribosomal RNA is filed under the name uncultured bacterium. Its description in RNAcentral is "bacterial SSU rRNA". It matches the Rfam family "Bacterial small subunit ribosomal RNA", at positions 330 to 793 of the family's 1533-position model. The record is from RNAcentral.
ACCAGACUCCUACGGGAGGCAGCAGUGGGGAAUAUUGGGCAAUGGGCGCAAGCCUGACCCAGCAACGCCGCGUGAAGGAAGAAGGCUUUCGGGUUGUAAACUUCUUUUGACAGGGAAGAGUAGAAGACGGUACCUGUCGAAUAAGCCACGGCUAACUACGUGCCAGCAGCCGCGGUAAUACGUAGGGGGCAAGCGUUAUCCGGAUUCACUGGGUGUAAAGGGAGCGUAGACGGCGACGCAAGUCUGGAGUGAAAGCCCGGGGCCCAACCCCGGGACUGCUCUGGAAACUGCGUCGCUGGAGUACGGGAGGGGCAGGCGGAAUUCCUGGUGUAGCGGUGAAAUGCGUAGAUAUCAGGAGGAACACCGGCGGCGAAGGCGGCCUGCUGGACCGUGACUGACGUUGAGGCUCGAGAGCGUGGGGAGCAAACAGGAUUAGAUACCCGAGUAAG